RNAcentral lists this ribosomal RNA (1572 nucleotides) under Pristimantis caprifer (La Palma robber frog). RNAcentral's name for it is "16S ribosomal RNA". It matches the Rfam family "Bacterial large subunit ribosomal RNA", at positions 379 to 2925 of the family's 2925-position model. The record is from RNAcentral. Lineage: Eukaryota; Metazoa; Chordata; Amphibia; Anura; Strabomantidae.
CCAAAAAUUUAGCCUCACCUCCUUCACUCCACAAAAACCUAAACAAAAUAUUGUAACAGUCUAGUAAAGAAGAUUAAAAAACUAUUUAGAGCUAUAUUCAUGUACCGUAAGGGAAGAAUGAAAUAAAAAUGAAACAAAUUUUAAGCACAGAAUAGUAGAGAUGCCCCCUCGUACCUUUUGCAUCAUGGUUUAGCUAGUUCAACUAGGCAAAAAGAUUUUUAGUCUAGCAUCCCGAAACUAAGCGAGCUACUUUACGGCCGCUUAAUGAGCAAACCCAUCUAUGUUUCAAAAUAGUGGGACGACCCUAAAGUAGAGGUGACAGACCUAACGAGCUUAGUUAUAGCUGGUUUCUCAAGAAAAGGAUCUAAGUCCAACCUAAAACAAUUUUAAUUCUUAUAAAUACCCCAUAAUCUUUUAGAGCAAGUCAAAUAAGGUACAGCCUAUUUGACCCAGGACCCCACCUUAACCUAAGGGUAACACUUGUCCCAUCACUAACAAGUAGGCCUAACAGCAGCCAUCUUUAAAAAAGCGUCAAAGCUUACCCGUGAUAAUCUUAAUUCCCCCACCUACACGGACCCCUUCAACUGUACUGAGAACUCCUAUAAGUUAUAGGAGAUUUUAUGCUAAAACUAGUAACAAGAGCUCAAAUCCUCUCUCAAUGCAAACUCAAGCCAGCAAGGACCCACCACUGACCCCUAACAAACUAAAUUAAAGUAGCAACUCUUCUAGAAAACCCUACCUAACCUUUUGUUAACCUUACACAAGAGCAUUCUAAGAAAGAUUAAAAGAAAAAGAAGGAACUCGGCAAACAUAAACCUCGCCUGUUUACCAAAAACAUCGCCUCUUGUCUACCACAUAAGAGGUCCAGCCUGCCCAGUGACUCUUGUUCAACGGCCGCGGUAUCCUAACCGUGCGAAGGUAGCGUAAUCACUUGUCUUUUAAAUAAAGACUAGUAUGAAAGGCACCACGAGGGUUUAACUGUCUCCUUUUUCUAAUCAGUGAACCUAAUCUCCCCGUGAAGAAGCGGGAAUUUUUUUAUAAGACGAGAAGACCCUAUGGAGCUUUAAACAUUAUUACAUUGCUUCUUCCCCAGACCACUCCGGUCCUACCCUCGUAGCAAAAUGAUAAGAUGUUUUUGGUUGGGGUGACCGCGGAGAAAAAAAGAUCCUCCAUGAUGUAAAGGAAAAAUUCCUAAAAUAAAAGCCACAACUUUAAAAAUCAAAAAAUUGACAUCUUGACCCAAUAUAUUGAUUAACGAACCAAGUUACCCUAGGGAUAACAGCGCAAUCCACUUUGAGAGCCCCUAUCGACAAGUGGGCUUACGACCUCGAUGUUGGAUCAGGGUAUCCUAGUGGUGAAGCCGCUACUAAGGGCUCGUUUGUUCAACGAUUAAAACCCUACGUGAUCUGAGUUCAGACCGGAGUAAUCCAGGUCAGUUUCUAUCUAUAAAGAGCUUUUUUUAGUACGAAAGGACCAAAAAAGCAUGGCCUAUACUACCUUAUGCCAUACUUAAUUAUUUCAGAGCCCCCCUGAAGAAAUUUUCAAUCUCUCACCACAUUCAAGAAAAGAAUA